Molecule: ribosomal RNA, 168 nt
Filed under: Carya glabra (pignut hickory)
Lineage: Eukaryota; Viridiplantae; Streptophyta; Magnoliopsida; Fagales; Juglandaceae
Also listed under: 16 other names
Description: 5.8S ribosomal RNA
Rfam family: 5.8S ribosomal RNA
About the family: 5.8S ribosomal RNA (5.8S rRNA) is a component of the large subunit of the eukaryotic ribosome. It is transcribed by RNA polymerase I as part of the 45S precursor that also contains 18S and 28S rRNA.
Source: RNAcentral
AUACAUAACGACUCUCGGCAACGGAUAUCUCGGCUCUCGCAUCGAUGAAGAACGUAGCGAAAUGCGAUACUUGGUGUGAAUUGCAGAAUCCCGCGAAUCAUCGAGUCUUUGAACGCAAGUUGCGCCCGAAGCCAUUCGGCCGAGGGCACGUCUGCCUGGGUGUCACGC